This 252-nucleotide long non-coding RNA is filed under the name Nicotiana tabacum (common tobacco). Its description in RNAcentral is "long non-coding RNA (NTAB_LNC011245)". Lineage: Eukaryota; Viridiplantae; Streptophyta; Magnoliopsida; Solanales; Solanaceae. The record is from RNAcentral.
UUAAACUAAGACUGAAAAUUAUUCCUCUCGUUAUACAGGUGGGCGCCUAUUUAAACUAAGACUGAAAAUUAUUCCUCUCGUUAUACAGGUUGACGCCUAUUUAAACUAAGACUGAAAAUUAUUCCUCUCGUUAUACAGGUGGGCGCCUAUUUAAACUAAGAUUGAAAAUUAUUCCUCUCGUUAUACAGGUGGGCGCCUAUUUAUACUAAGACUGAAAAUUAUUCCUCUCGUUAUACAAGUGGGCGCCUAUUU